RNAcentral lists this ribosomal RNA (464 nucleotides) under Vreelandella stevensii. Its description in RNAcentral is "partial 16S ribosomal RNA". It matches the Rfam family "Bacterial small subunit ribosomal RNA", at positions 338 to 794 of the family's 1533-position model. The record is from RNAcentral. Lineage: Bacteria; Pseudomonadati; Pseudomonadota; Gammaproteobacteria; Oceanospirillales; Halomonadaceae.
CCUACGGGAGGCAGCAGUGGGGAAUAUUGGACAAUGGGCGAAAGCCUGAUCCAGCCAUGCCGCGUGUGUGAAGAAGGCCUUCGGGUUGUAAAGCACUUUCAGUGGGGAAGAAAGCCUUGGGGCUAAUACCCUCGAGGAAGGACAUCACCCACAGAAGAAGCACCGGCUAACUCCGUGCCAGCAGCCGCGGUAAUACGGAGGGUGCGAGCGUUAAUCGGAAUUACUGGGCGUAAAGCGCGCGUAGGCGGUCUGAUAAGCCGGUUGUGAAAGCCCCGGGCUCAACCUGGGAACGGCAUCCGGAACUGUCAGGCUAGAGUGCAGGAGAGGAAGGUAGAAUUCCCGGUGUAGCGGUGAAAUGCGUAGAGAUCGGGAGGAAUACCAGUGGCGAAGGCGGCCUUCUGGACUGACACUGACGCUGAGGUGCGAAAGCGUGGGUAGCAAACAGGAUUAGAUACCCGUGUAAU